UUGCUCUUCAAAUCGAGUGGCGAACGGGUGAGUAACGCGUGAGGAACCUGCCUUUCAGAGGGGGACAACAGCUGGAAACGGCUGCUAAUACCGCAUGACGCAUUCGGAUGGCAUCAUCUGAAUGCCAAAGAUUUAUCGCUGAAAGAUGGCCUCGCGUCUGAUUAGAUAGUUGGCGGGGUAACGGCCCACCAAGUCGACGAUCAGUAGCCGGACUGAGAGGUUGACCGGCCACAUUGGGACUGAGAUACGGCCCAGACUCC
This 260-nucleotide ribosomal RNA is filed under the name uncultured Oscillibacter sp. Its description in RNAcentral is "partial 16S ribosomal RNA". It matches the Rfam family "Bacterial small subunit ribosomal RNA", at positions 79 to 339 of the family's 1533-position model. The record is from RNAcentral. Lineage: Bacteria; Bacillati; Bacillota; Clostridia; Eubacteriales; Oscillospiraceae.